UACGAAGGGGGCGAGCGUUGUUCGGAUUUACUGGGCGUAAAGGGCGCGUAGGCGGCCAGCUUUGUCAGGCGUGAAAGCCCUGGGCUCAACCUGGGAAUUGCGCUUGGGACGGGUUGGCUUGAGAUCGGGAGAGGAGAGUGGAAUUCCCAGUGUAGAGGUGGAAUUCGUAGCUAUUGGGAAGAACACCGGUGGCGAAGGCGGCCUCUCUCGGACCGACACUGACGCAUGAGGCGG
Molecule: ribosomal RNA, 234 nt
Filed under: uncultured bacterium
Lineage: Bacteria
Description: partial 16S ribosomal RNA
Rfam family: Bacterial small subunit ribosomal RNA
Source: RNAcentral